AUUGAACGCUGGCGGCAUGCCUUACACAUGCAAGUCGAACGGCAACGCGCGUUCUUGUGCCUGCUGGCGGGUAACGGGCGGGUAAUAAAUCCGUACGUACCCGUCCUUGGGGGGUGACUAGGCCGGAGCUAUCCUGAUUCCUCACACGAUCUAUGGACGAAAGCAGGGGAGGGCCAGUCCUUCCUCGCGCGGUGGGGUCGAUGGCUGAUUAGUUAGUUGGUGGGUUAAAAGCUUACCAAGCCGACGAUCUGUAGCUGGUCUGAGAGGAUGAUCAGCCACACUGGGACUGAGACACGGCCCAGACUCCUACGGGAGGCAGCAGUGGGGAAUUUUGGACAAUGGGCGAAAGCCUGAUCCAGCAAUGCCGCGUGUGGGAUGAAGGCCUUCGGGUUGUAAAGUGAUUUUGUACGGAAAGAAAACCUUGGUUCUAAUACGGGCGGGGGAUGACGGUACCGGAAGAAUAAGCACCGGCUAACUACGUG
Molecule: ribosomal RNA, 482 nt
Filed under: uncultured bacterium
Lineage: Bacteria
Description: partial 16S ribosomal RNA
Rfam family: Bacterial small subunit ribosomal RNA
Source: RNAcentral